This 224-nucleotide long non-coding RNA is filed under the name Elaeis guineensis (African oil palm). RNAcentral's name for it is "long non-coding RNA (EGUI_LNC011261)". Lineage: Eukaryota; Viridiplantae; Streptophyta; Magnoliopsida; Arecales; Arecaceae. The record is from RNAcentral.
GAAUAUGCUCCAUACUGAUGAAUGGGCUUGAAGAAAGAAAAAAAUAUGGAUGAGAAGAAAAAGUUGAUGAAGAGAAAAAGGAGGAGAGGAAAGGAGCUGCCAGUGAGAAAUGAUUUGGAGGAGAAGCAAAAGAGGAUAGGAAGGAAGAAAAGAAGAAAAAAUAGGUUGCUGACAAAAAGGGAUGGAAGUGGAAGGAGCCAUUGUAGAAAAGGAUGGCUCAUGGA